UUCCGCUGCGGCUGCGCUGACUCGUCGUUGCAGCGCUGGCGGCGGCAGGGACGUCCGAACUGAGGUUAGAAGAACUCUGUGCUCACCCCGUAACUAUGUUACAUCUCAAACAGACACCACCUAACCAAGCGAUACUCACAGUCUGCUGUUCUUGCCUGGAUCUUUAUGCACAAGAAAUUACAGCAGAGGGCAAAAGUCACCUGAGGCCACCGAAGACGGGGCACCUCCCCAGCAUCAGUUGUUCUCCCCUGAAAAAUGGAAAUUCAUCACAUUGAGAUCACCAGUUUUGUCAUCAAUUACCACAAUCGGGUAGGUUAAUCAAUAAGGCAAUUUGUUAAUUCAUUGAUAAGGAACAGGCAAGCAGUGCUGGGGACACGGGGAGUCUGCACUCCACAAAGAUGUCCGUUCUACCCCUGGUCACUGCCCCUUUUCUAGGCAGUUUCUUUUUGAGUGGUGUCAUGCCUACUGUGCUGGGGUACAAGUCCGAGCAAGCCUGAACAUGUUGGCUAGUUCCCAAGCAGCAGCAGCUACAAGCCUCCACCAGGUCUGGACAAGGCUCGAACAUGUUUUCAGGUUAGACUCUUAGCAAGCAGGUAACAGCCAUACCAAGCCUUCCCAUGUUUGCACAAGCUUGCAUUUUCCUUAUACAUAAAAGGUAGAUAUAACUCAUAAUUACAGUGGCAAAAAAUACAUAACAGCAAAAGCCAGUAUUUCACAGCAACGUGAUUUUAAGAAAUAUAAUGAAAUUAUUAUA
Long non-coding RNA from Oenanthe melanoleuca, 754 nucleotides. RefSeq lists it as uncharacterized. Lineage: Eukaryota; Metazoa; Chordata; Aves; Passeriformes; Muscicapidae. The transcript has 3 exons. The record is from RefSeq and is a predicted model, not a curated record.